This 331-nucleotide long non-coding RNA is filed under the name Lathyrus oleraceus (garden pea). RNAcentral's name for it is "Pisum sativum (pea) long non-coding RNA (PSAT_LNC030958)". The record is from RNAcentral. Lineage: Eukaryota; Viridiplantae; Streptophyta; Magnoliopsida; Fabales; Fabaceae.
UAGGGAUGAUGAUGAUUUAAUCGAAAGGGUCUUUGCUAAGGGUAUCCCCACAUUCGCGAGACAUGACCGUAAUAUCGUAAGGCAACAAAGAGAGGGUUACCCUAGAGGUGCAAAUGUGGAAAUGAUUGGAUUCAGAUAUAUUAUCUUGAAUUAAUUUAUCUAAAUUCGAUUAUUUAUCUUUCCAUGCAAUCCUAUUAGCAUAUAUCUAGACAGUUAUAUUCACAGUAUGGAGAAAUUAAAGUGCGAAAAAUAAGACUACGCUAUUACAUGGCUUCGGGAUGGGGGGUACAUAAUUUAAAAGGGGAUAUAAAAUAUCUAAAUCUUAAUUAAC